This 465-nucleotide ribosomal RNA is filed under the name uncultured bacterium. Its description in RNAcentral is "bacterial SSU rRNA". It matches the Rfam family "Bacterial small subunit ribosomal RNA", at positions 33 to 507 of the family's 1533-position model. The record is from RNAcentral.
AGGACGACGCUGGCGGCGUGCCUAACACAUGCAAGUCGAGCGAAUGAAGUUCCUUCGGGAACGGAUUUAGCGGCGGACGGGUGAGUAACACGUGGGCAACCUGCCUCAUAGAGGGGAAUAGCCUUCCGAAAGGGAGAUUAAUACCGCAUAAGAUUGUAGUACCGCAUGGUACAGCAAUUAAAGGAGCAAUCCGCUAUGAGAUGGGCCCGCGGCGCAUUAGCUAGUUGGUGAGGUAACGGCUCACCAAGGCGACGAUGCGUAGCCGACCUGAGAGGGUGAUCGGCCACAUUGGGACUGAGACACGGCCCAGACUCCUACGGGAGGCAGCAGUGGGGAAUAUUGCACAAUGGGGGAAACCCUGAUGCAGCAACGCCGCGUGAGUGAUGACGGCCUUCGGGUUGUAAAGCUCUGUCUUCAGGGACGAUAAUGACGGUACCUGAGGAGGAAGCCACGGCUAACUACGUG